UGAGGAAGAUGACACUGAAAUCAAAACAAAGGUUGUUAGAAAUACAUUUUCUAUCUCUCCAUUUAUCUAUUCAUAACCUUACAUUACACUCUUCCUUACCUGCUGUAGUUUCACUCAUGCGUCGUCUUUUCGUGUUAACACGAUUACGUUCAAGAUCUGGUGAAGAACUACGGGGUCUCCGUACAGAAUUAAUAUGAUCCACUGCUGUGUAAACUCUAGGUUCGUCCGAGUGAGAUCGCUGGGGAAGGGAUUCUUCAUCCUGGUUUUCCGACUUCACAUGUUCAAUUUCAUCACUACUUGUCGUUGACGUUGAGUUUUGUCGCCACAUUGAGGGGAAACGAUCGGCCAUCGACUUGUCCGUAAGAUAUGAAGCUCUCAAGUUAUACACGAAUGCACAGUCUUUAUCGAAUCAAAUUGGAAAUCGAAGUGGAGCGCUGGUAUUUGACUCAAAAUGCGACAAUAAAACACUUCAGCAUGACUAUAACUUAUGAUUAAUUAAUCACUCUUCAUGGCAAAACAUGUACUUCAUACGGUAUCUUAAUCAUCGAAAUAAGCAAGCCUUAUACAGCCAAGCACACAUACGUGGGCAGGUGGCGCCUACGCUUUGUUGACAACUCUUAUUGUAGUCAUGCAAGUAUAAACAGCAGGCUUUGUUAUUCAUAUCAAUGGACAUUUCUCGAAAUUACGGAGAUCUUACUAUCAAACUUAAUUUGUCUUGUUUGGCUGUGAACAUUGCAGAAAAUGGCAAAAGUUUAGGUAAAAAUAACAGAGACAAUGUAAGCGACAAAGCAUACGUGACACUAACAAAUACAGGUAUAGUGGUACCUGUGUCGUUGACAAGACAAUGUUUUUACUAUUUCAUAACUAAGCAGACUUUCGUGAAACCACAUAAUUUUAAAAACAAUAUCAUUUUUAUGAACAAAACAAAGUUAAAUCAGACGUUUGUUACAAGGCUUGCGUAGGAGAACUGAGUAUUCUUACUCACCACAAAUGAAGAAUCGGAGACAGAAUUUAUAUACUGAAUGCUACUCUAAGAUCACGCUUUAAAUGGUUCUUGUGUAAGCAUUUCACUCAAUUUCCGCCUGUCGUAAACACUUGUGGCGUGCUUAUAUCUAAUCUUUGCGAGCUAAAAAUAACGAUAAAUUUCGAACGAUUCGCGUGCCUCAUAUGUCAAGGGUCAUCGUAAAUCACUAGGGCUAUUUUCCUGCUAGAAUUUUCUAUUACAUGGGCGAGGAAAGAUGAAAUUUCUACAAUUUUUUAGUGCAUUUUCUUUACGCAUCGUAAUGAACGUUAAUACUUCAGUGUGCAGAUCGUAAAAGACUAGUUUAAAAAAUCUUAAAUCACAGUUGUUGUAAAAAAUACCAACAUAAAAUGAACUUAACUAUAUUUUGAACAGCAAAAAAACAAGUUACAAUAAAAGUGUAGUAACAUAAUUUUGCAUUCAUGAUGGAGAACACUUCUAAGUUAGGUCUUGCACUCGGAACAAGGUUUAGACUAAAUAAAAAUGAACUAAUAUGAAAGCUAUGAUAAACAAAAGAACUAUUUAUCAAUUAACGGAUAGCAAAGCUGUGAUUUUCAUAUUUGCUUUAACGCAUCAUUACAUUCAAAGCAAAGAGAGAGAAACCGUGUCGCUACGACAUGUAAAUAAACCUUGAACAUUUAACGUGCAAAUGGUUCUUCCAAUCAGUUAUCGUGGGCGUAAAAGAAAGCGUGGUAUGAUAAUGACGGCAAAAGUUUAAAACAAGAUCUAUAGCAACCAUAUAAACUGCAAACGGACAAAAUCGUUAAGUUUACAUAGCGUUAAAUGUAUUACUGAGAAAAACCUUCCUCUAAUUUAGGUUGUUGGAAGAAUCGCUUGAUGGAUACAAAAUUAUUUCAUGGAAGUUCUAUCUUAAACAAAUUAUUAAUUAAACAAAACAAAACGAUUUACUCAUUCUUAUAACUGUACGAUUGUAAUUAGUAGGUGAAAAACAAUUAUGCUCCUUCAGUAAGUACGGAGGCAAGUACCUUAAUGCAGGUGGAGAAUAUAAAUCAUCCUGCAUCCAAAAAUGUCUCUUCCAAUUACCAAAAUAUCAAUAUUUUCAGCUUGAAAUAAACCCAGCUGUUUUUUUACGAACUAAGCAGUUGUUUUGAUUGUCAUAAAGCAGUGCAAAAAUUACGCUAAUUUAUAAGGUGUGUAUAGAAAGCUAAAAAUACAGGAUAAGCCAAAGAUAAUUAAAAUAUCGAGAAUAACAACUUAAGAAUAAAUAACUUACGACAGGCGAGGAAACACGACAUCCAGGACAGUCACAAAUCGGUGGAUGAACUUUUAAAAAUCCUUGAGCAAUUAAACUUUUUAACGACUUC
This is a long non-coding RNA of Xenia sp. Carnegie-2017, 2346 nucleotides long. RefSeq lists it as uncharacterized. NCBI's taxonomy places the organism in Eukaryota, Metazoa, Cnidaria, Anthozoa, Malacalcyonacea, Xeniidae. The transcript is spliced from 2 exons. The record is from RefSeq and is a predicted model, not a curated record.